UAGCCACGGUAAUACCAGCCCCCGCGAGUGGUCGGGACGUUUAUUGGGCCUAAAGCGGCCGUAGCCGGCCCCUGUAAGUCCCAGCCUAAAGACCCCGGGCUCAACCCCGGGGAGUGGCUGGGGAUACUACAGGGCUAGAGGGCGGGAGAGGUGGGGGGUACGUCCCGGGGUAGGGGCGGAAAUCCUAUAAUCCCGGGAGGACCACCAGUGGCGAAGGC
Molecule: ribosomal RNA, 218 nt
Filed under: uncultured archaeon
Lineage: Archaea
Description: partial 16S ribosomal RNA
Rfam family: Archaeal small subunit ribosomal RNA
Source: RNAcentral